CAACAUUGGUGCACAGAGAGUUAAAAAUGCUUGCAUUGCUUUUUGCAACUUCUUUGAGGAGCAGAACAUUGCAACGUGCUUGAGAUGUCUUCAACAAGUGAAACAAGAGUAUUACCUUGUGCAUUUUAGAUACUUUUUUAGUAUGGCAUACAAUAACACGUUUAGCUUUAUAUUAUAUUUGUUUGACAUUCUGAGAUAUUAUGUGUUUAUGACAAUUUUUAAUUGCAUGAACUUAAUUUUG
Molecule: non-coding RNA, 241 nt
Organism: Theobroma cacao (cacao)
Lineage: Eukaryota; Viridiplantae; Streptophyta; Magnoliopsida; Malvales; Malvaceae
Source: RefSeq, a predicted model, not a curated record